CCAGCCGCCGCGGUAAUACGGAGGAUGCAAGCGUUAUCCGGAAUGAUUGGGCGUAAAGCGUCCGCAGGUGGUUUAUCAAGUUUGCGGUUAAAGGUUCUGGCUCAACCAGAGACGGGCCGUGAAAACUGAUAGACUAGAGUAUGGUAGGGGCAGAGGGAAUACCCAGUGUAGCGGUGAAAUGCGUAGAGAUUGGGAAGAACACCGGUGGCGAAAGCGCUCUGCUAGGCCAAAACUGACACUGAGGGACGAAAGCUAGGGGAGCGAAUGGGAUUAGAUACCCCAGUAGUCCUAGCCGUAAACGAUGAAUACUAGGUGUAGCUUGUAUCGACCCAAGCUGUGCCGUAGCUAACGCGUUAAGUAUCCCGCCUGGGGAGUACGCGCGCAAGCGUGAAACUCAAAGGAAUUGACGGGGGCCCGCACAAGCGGUGGAGUAUGUGGUUUAAUUCGAUGCAACGCGAAGAACCUUACCAGGACUUGACAUGUCGCGAAUCUUACUGAAAGGUAAGAGUGCCUUAGGGAGCGCGAACACAGGUGGUGCAUAGCUGUCGUCAGCUCGUGUCGUGAGAUGUUGGGUUAAGUCCCGCAACGAGCGCAACCCUCGUUUUUAGUUGCCAUCAUUAAGUUGGGCACUCUAGAGAGACUGCCGGUGACAAACCGGAGGAAGGUGGGGAUGACGUCAAGUCAGCAUGCCCCUUACGUUCUGGGCUACACACGUACUACAAUGCUACGGACAAAGGGUAGCAAGACAGCGAUGUCAAGCCAAUCCCAUAAACCGUGGCUCAGUUCAGAUUGCAGGCUGCAACUCGCCUGCAUGAAGGCGGAAUCGCUAGUAAUCGCAGGUCAGCACUACUGCGGUGAAUACGUUCCCGGGCCUUGUACACACCGCCCGUCACACCAUGGAAGCUGGCUUAGCCCGAAGUCGUUACCCUAACCGUAAGGAGGGGGAUGCCGAAGGCAGGGCUGGUGACUGGGGUGAAGUCGUAACAAGGUAACCAA
This 996-nucleotide ribosomal RNA is filed under the name uncultured cyanobacterium. Its description in RNAcentral is "bacterial SSU rRNA". It matches the Rfam family "Bacterial small subunit ribosomal RNA", at positions 508 to 1503 of the family's 1533-position model. Lineage: Bacteria; Bacillati; Cyanobacteriota. The record is from RNAcentral.